GACGAACGCUGGCGGCGUGCUUAACACAUGCAAGUCGAACGGAAAGGCCUGCUUUCCCUUGUGGAUUGCGGGUACUCGAGUGGCGAACGGGUGAGUAACACGUGAGUGAUCUGCCCCCAACUUGGGUAUAAGCCUGGGAAACUGGGUCUAAUUCCCGAUAGGACUGCAGGGUGGUGCCUGUGGUGGAAAACGAUUUUCUAGUGGUUGGGGAUGAGCUCGCGGCCUAUCAGCUUGUUGGUGGGGUAAUGGCCUACCAAGGCGGCGACGGGUAGCCGGCCUGAGAGGGUGGACGGCCACAUUGGGACUGAGAUACGGCCCAGACUCCGACGGGAGGCAGCAGUGGGGAAUAUGGCACAAGGGGCGGAAGCCUGAUGCAGCGACGCCGCGUGGGGGAUGACGGCCUUCGGGUGGUAAACUCCUUUCGACCGCGAGGAAGCCACCUGGUUGGAAGGGUGGUGACGGUAGUGGUAGAAGAAGCACCGGCUAACUACGUG
This 494-nucleotide ribosomal RNA is filed under the name uncultured bacterium. RNAcentral describes it as "partial 16S ribosomal RNA". It matches the Rfam family "Bacterial small subunit ribosomal RNA", at positions 28 to 507 of the family's 1533-position model. The record is from RNAcentral.